Molecule: non-coding RNA, 29 nt
Filed under: Mus musculus (house mouse)
Lineage: Eukaryota; Metazoa; Chordata; Mammalia; Rodentia; Muridae
Source: RNAcentral
UUCCAAGGAAUGAAUCUUGAAACUUUGGA